This 254-nucleotide long non-coding RNA is filed under the name Elaeis guineensis (African oil palm). RNAcentral's name for it is "long non-coding RNA (EGUI_LNC024604)". The record is from RNAcentral. Lineage: Eukaryota; Viridiplantae; Streptophyta; Magnoliopsida; Arecales; Arecaceae.
CCCUAAUGUACUAAAUUGUUUGGGAGAUUCUCCUGAAUCUUCCAUCCUUCAUGAUUGGGCUAAUGCAUGAUGCUGCGAACCGAUCGAGUGUGUCCUUAUCUUAUGGCAUAGUUCUGACUUUGGUCUUCUAGGAGCAUAAGAUAGAUCUUGAAGGAGAGACGAUCAAGGAGCUGAUGCAUACAGACAUAUAUAAUAACCAGUCACUUAAAAGAACGUGCUUUCAAAAAAUUGACGGUCAUUGGAUUCCUGAGGGA